ACCUAAAAUCUAGCCCUCAACCCCCUAUGCGCCCUCCUUCUCACCCCUUCUAAACAAAACAUUCUAACAAUCCAGUAAAGGCGAUAGAAAAAUUUAUUUGAGCUAUACUGCAAGUACCGUAAGGGAAAGAUGAAAUAAAAAUGAAAUAAACAAUCAAGCACAGAAAAGUAGAGCUUCAGCCUCGUACCUUUUGUAUUAUGGUUUAACUAGUCCUUAUCAAGCAAAACGAAUUUAAGUCUGACCCCCCGAAACUAGGCGAGCUACUUCAAGGCAGCCUGAUGGGCCAACCCGUCUCUGUUGCAAAAGAGUGGGAAGACCUUCGAGUAGAGGUGACAAACCAACCGAGCCUAGAAAUAGCUGGUUACCCAGUAAAAGAAUUUUAGUUCUUCCUAAAGUUAAAUUAUGCCUAAAAACAAACCCUUUUACUUUAGAAGCAUUCAAACAAGGUACAGCUUGUUUGAAACAGGAUACAACCUAGAAUAACGGGUUAUUAAAUAGCAAAGUAUCAAAGUGGGCCCAAAAGCAGCCACCUUUAAAAUAGCGUCAAAGCUUAACUACCCUAUUGCCCCUAAUCACUUCAAUUAGUAUAAACCCUUAAUUAACACCGGGUGCUUCUAUAUCCUUAUAGAAAUCAUUAUGUUAAAACUAGUAACAAGAAGAAACCCUUCUCUUUUAAAUGUGAGAGUAAGCCAGAAAGGAUAAACCACUGUCAAUUAACACGUAUGACUUAAAAUUAGCAACAUCACAAGAAAACCCUACUGAUAUAAGUGUUAAUCUAACACAAGAACAUUUUAAGAAAGAUUUUUAAAAAAGGAAGGAACUCAGCAAACGUCAGCCUCGCCUGUUUACCAAAAACAUCGCCUCUUGAAUUUGUAUAAGAGGUCCAGCCUGCCCAGUGACCUAGUUUAACGGCCGCGGUAUCCUAACCGUGCGAAGGUAGCGUAAUCACUUGUUCUUUAAAUGAGGACUAGUAUGAACGGCAUCACGAAGGCUGUACUGUCUCCCCUUUUUAAUCAGUGAAACUAAUCUUCCCGUGAAGAAGCGGGAAUGCUAUAAUAAGACGAGAAGACCCUAUGGAGCUUUAAACUAUUUAACACUUGCUGCCACCCAACUACUUUCAGUAGUCUCACAAAAAACACAGCAUUAUGAUUACAAGUUUUCGAUUGGGGUGAUCACGGAGUAAAAAUCAGCCUCCACGCCAAAUGGGCCCAACCCCCUGAACUAUAAGCCACAACUUUAAGUACUAAAAAAUUAUUGUUUCUUGACCCAAUGACUUGAUCAACGAACCAAGUUACCCUAGGGAUAACAGCGCAAUCCACUUCAAGAGCCCCUAUCGACAAGUGGGUUUACGACCUCGAUGUUGGAUCAGGGUGUCCAAGUGGUGCAGCCGCUACUAAAGGUUCGUUUGUUCAACGAUUAAAACCCU
RNAcentral lists this ribosomal RNA (1426 nucleotides) under Aplastodiscus albosignatus (Lutz's treefrog). Its description in RNAcentral is "partial 16S ribosomal RNA". It matches the Rfam family "Bacterial large subunit ribosomal RNA", at positions 410 to 2597 of the family's 2925-position model. The record is from RNAcentral. Lineage: Eukaryota; Metazoa; Chordata; Amphibia; Anura; Hylidae.